This is a long non-coding RNA of Gossypium raimondii (Peruvian cotton), 326 nucleotides long. RefSeq lists it as uncharacterized. The record is from RefSeq and is a predicted model, not a curated record. NCBI's taxonomy places the organism in Eukaryota, Viridiplantae, Streptophyta, Magnoliopsida, Malvales, Malvaceae. The transcript has 2 exons.
GAUCAAGAAAGAAGAAAUAGUGGAAGUGAUCGGGGAAAAGAGAAAGUUAUCGACUAAAUUACAAAAAAAAAUAGUCGUUUUGCAUCCGAGUGAUUUGAACUUGAUCGAAUUGGGGAUCGUCGGAGCUCGUAUCACACUAUCAUAAUCAUCUCGGUAUUAUGUGCUUUUCAAAAUGUUUAAACUAUGGCAUGUAUAGAGUCUUAAUCAUUUUGAGCAUGUUCAAAUGAUAUGGCUAAUAUUAGCUAUUGAAGUAGUUAUUAAAGAAUAUGUUUUGGUGUUAUGUAUGUUAAAAUGGUAACUAAUUCAAAGAAGCAGUUUCUUUGACA